CCAGCCUCGGGCUGGCUGUUGACAGAAGCGCGCAAGGUGCAUCUUUAUGCUCUACAUCAAACGCCUUUGACACAGACUUAAAAAAGUCUAUGUAAAGCAGCUAAUGGUGCUCGCUCUUCCGGCUGAGUAAGUCGGGGAACCAGAUUUUGCUGGAAGUAGAAGCCCUUUGCUCUGAGAACUGAUCUUUACUGCAUCAGAGUGAUGGAUGUCUUGGUGCAGCCCAGGUCUGGACAUUCAUAGCACAGUGUGAUCUCCAUGCUACUGGAGGAGCUGGUGAAGGUCCAUAACUCCAGAAAAGCAGAAAGAAAAAGUCCCUCCACAGUUUCCAGGAUCAGCCCCUCCCGGACUGCAUCUUACGGUGCCUCUUGGCUGUACUGCACGUUCCCCACCAUAAAUACAUCCCCAGCACAUCAGGAGCAGAGCAGGGGGCUGCAAUAUUGGUGAAAGGGACAUUACAGGAGAAAAGUUGAAAACCUCAGGCCUGAUCCUGACCCCUUUGAGCUGAACAGGAGCUGUUGCGUGGGCUUCAGUGGGAGCAAGCUCGUGUGCUCUACGUGCAGAAGCAUUAAACUUAAAAGCAAGCUGUUUAAAAGGCUGCAUUGUUUCUUGCUUGUACUGAUAGUUUCUCAUGUAAAGUUCUAUAUAUUCUUUCACAAUAAAUACAUGAAACAGUUAAUCCA
RNAcentral lists this long non-coding RNA (680 nucleotides) under Junco hyemalis (dark-eyed junco). RNAcentral describes it as "lncRNA (ENSJHYG00000017856.1)". The record is from RNAcentral. Lineage: Eukaryota; Metazoa; Chordata; Aves; Passeriformes; Passerellidae.